UAAUACAAUUAAGUUUAGGAUAACAAAUGAAUAGUUUACAGCAUUUUAUAUUAUUGUUCGACAAUGUUUUUUUUUGCUUUGCCCCGAAAUUCGACACAUGUCUUUGGAGGGAAGAUGCUCGUUUUAUGGCUUACUGAUGUGGAGACUCUGGGUUCAUACCACAAGAUUCAUUUUCCCAUGGAGUGACCCGUGUGAGCUGUGCGCCUGCAUUGCUGUGUUUUACAGGAAAGGCUUCCUGUCGUUGCCAGCAUCUCUUAAAAGGUAGAGGUCCGCGAGGGACGAGAGGAAAGUGGAUUUCAACCAGAUGGGGGAAUCGGCUGCAUACAGCUCUGAGCGCCUCUGAGUCAGGCUAAACAGUGGGCACAGUCAUCCUCACAUUGGGCCAAAUGGAAGAGUGAAGUCACAAACACCAUGGAGCUACUUAGAGGAGGACUGCAGUGCUGUAAACAUGUUUCUCUCAUUGGUGUGUGGUCUUAGACACUCAUUAAAGAUGGAGUGGGUGGACUUGUUGGGGAGCCUUUUGUACAUCUGCUCUCAUGUAAGAGAUUUGUUUAUAAUAUACCACAUUAUGGAGUUAUUGUGUUAGGUGGCCUGGGCCAACUUUAUGUCAUUUGUGGUCUCUGGAAUUUAUACAGUUAUUACCAUAA
This is a long non-coding RNA of Onychostoma macrolepis, 647 nucleotides long. RefSeq lists it as uncharacterized. The record is from RefSeq and is a predicted model, not a curated record. The transcript is spliced from 3 exons. Lineage: Eukaryota; Metazoa; Chordata; Actinopteri; Cypriniformes; Cyprinidae.